GCUCGUGUCGAUAGUUGAAUGAACCAGUGCCCAAUAGAUCGUUGAAGUUAAGCAAUUUUGCGUGUGGUUGGUAUCUGGAUGGGUGACCAUUUGGCCAGACGUGUACUGCUGGCU
Molecule: ribosomal RNA, 114 nt
Filed under: Diaphorina citri (Asian citrus psyllid)
Lineage: Eukaryota; Metazoa; Arthropoda; Insecta; Hemiptera; Psyllidae
Source: RNAcentral